This 253-nucleotide ribosomal RNA is filed under the name uncultured bacterium. RNAcentral describes it as "partial 16S ribosomal RNA". It matches the Rfam family "Bacterial small subunit ribosomal RNA", at positions 524 to 776 of the family's 1533-position model. The record is from RNAcentral.
UACGAAGGGGGCUAGCGUUGCUCGGAAUUACUGGGCGUAAAGCGCACGUAGGCGGCGAUGACAGUCAGAUGUGAAAUCCCCGGGCUUAACCUGGGAACUGCGUUUGAAACUACAAGGCUAGAGUGUAGCAGAGGGGGGUGGAAUUCCACGUGUAGCAGUGAAAUGCGUAGAGAUGUGGAGGAACACCGAUGGCGAAGGCAGCCCCCUGGGUUAACACUGACGCUCAGGCACGAAAGCGUGGGGAGCAAACAGG